ACUGCUCAGUAACACGUGGAUAACCUACCCAAGAGUCCGGGAUAACCCCGGGAAACUGGGGAUAAUACCGGAUAGGCCACCCAGGCUGGAAGGCGGGGUGGUUGAAACUUCCGGGGCUUUUGGAUGGGUCUGCGGCUGAUUAGGUUGUUGCCGGUGUAAUGUACCGUCAAGCCUGUAAUCAGUACGGGUUGUGGGAGCAAGAGCCCGGAGAUGGAUUCUGAGACACGAAUCCAGGCCCUACGGGGCGCAGCAGGCGCGAAAACUCUACAAUGCAGGCAACUGCGAUAGGGGAACAUCGAGUGAUCCUCAUAUUGGGGAUCUGUCCACUCGCCUAAAAAGCGGGUGUUAGCAAGGGCCGGGCAAGACCGGUGCCAGCCGCCGCGGUAAUACCGGCGGCUCGAGUGGUGGCCGAUAUUAUUGAGUCUAAAGGGUCCGUAGCCGGCUUUGCAAGUCUCUCGGGAAAUCCAGCGGCUUAACCGUUGGUCGUCCGGGGGGUACUACAUUGCUCGGGACUGGGAGAGGUAGGAGGUACUCAGGGGGUAGGAGUGAAAUCCUGUAAUCCUUUGGGGACCACCGGUGGCGAAGGCGUCCUACCAGAACAGGUCCGACGGUGAGGGACGAAAGCUAGGGGCACGAACCGGAUUAGAUACCCGGGUAGUCCUAGCCGUAAACGAUGCUCGCUAGGUGUCACAACAGUCGUGAACUGUUGUGGUGCCGUAGGGAAGCCGUGAAGCGAGCCACUUGGGAAGUACGACCGCAAGGUUGAAACUUAAAGGAAUUGGCGGGGGAGCAC
This 793-nucleotide ribosomal RNA is filed under the name uncultured archaeon. RNAcentral describes it as "bacterial SSU rRNA". It matches the Rfam family "Archaeal small subunit ribosomal RNA", at positions 85 to 879 of the family's 1478-position model. The record is from RNAcentral.